This is a small nucleolar RNA of Nannospalax galili (Upper Galilee mountains blind mole rat), 101 nucleotides long. The record is from Ensembl. NCBI's taxonomy places the organism in Eukaryota, Metazoa, Chordata, Mammalia, Rodentia, Spalacidae.
GUGCCCUUUUAAGGUUGACAUAGAAGAGUAAAGGCACUCUCCAUAAAACCCAGAGAAGAGACUGUACAUUUCCUCUUUGGCUCCUGUCUGGAGUCACAACU